GAUGAAAGAGCAGAAAAAUUAAUGAUAAGAGCAGCUUGUAGCUUUCUGAUAGACAAUUUUGGAAGUUACCCACCUCCUAAGAGACAGUUGGAAAUGGCAAUAGACAUUGUCGAAACUUUCCCUCACAGAGCUUGUCAAUCAGGCAAAGGCUAUGAAUUAUAUUAUUGUCCUGGGGCAGGGAAAGGCUUCAUUACUAACCGGAUGAGAGAAAUUUACAGACGAUAUGAUAAAAGCCAGAAAAAAUACAAAGCCAGAACACUUGUUAUUACAGAAGAUCAAGAAGAUGACAUUAAUGAUGAUGAGGUACAACGUUUAAAAGUUAAAGCAAGUCAUACCGUUUCAACAGAAAGAAAUUUCAAGGAAAUCGCUGAUGCCAUGGCAGCGACGUUUAAUAACCGACAGAAAUGGAUUAAGAAAGGCUCUCCGUCUCUGAGAGAGAUUCUUUCCGAUUAUCCCAGAUAUGUUGAUACACCAGAUUUGAUUUCAAUAGAUUUUAAAAGAUUGUAUCCUGAUUGCUGUCAGACUUCUGUAGAAAUUGAAAAUGAAUGGGCCAAAAAAAUAAUAACAUAUUGCCAAAUAAAUGGACGCUGCCCUGAUGUAGUAGGCAAUCUUGAUUUGGAGACACAAUAUGAUCCAAACCAAGCAACACUGAAAAUGAUACGAUGUAUAGUAACUCUAUUACCAACUAUGGGACGAUACAGAGUGUCAACAUCAGAUGCAAUGAAAUGCAUUAUUGAAGAAGUGCCGAUAGGAACAUCAUUAGAAGAAUAUUUAAGUUCAGAUAACAAUCAGCGAACCCAGCCAUAUAUACUUAAUAUUAAACCUUCAAACUUUUUUAUAAUUAUGGAAAAAAAUGCUGUCAUUGUGA
Patella vulgata (common limpet) is the source of this 868-nucleotide long non-coding RNA. RefSeq lists it as uncharacterized. The record is from RefSeq and is a predicted model, not a curated record. The transcript has 7 exons. Lineage: Eukaryota; Metazoa; Mollusca; Gastropoda; Patellidae.